Long non-coding RNA from Equus asinus (donkey), 5395 nucleotides. The record is from Ensembl. NCBI's taxonomy places the organism in Eukaryota, Metazoa, Chordata, Mammalia, Perissodactyla, Equidae.
UGUCUGCGCGACGCCCUCCGGAAACGCUUCCCCCCCCAGAGAAAAGUGACCUGUCACCUGUCUGACUCCUCACAGGGCUGCGGCUGGUGAGGGCCCAGCCUGAGUCUGGGUCAUGGUGGUAUCUCCAGGCCCUAGUACAGUGCCUGGCACUCAUUCAAUAUUUGUGAAUAAAUUUCUUCUGUUGCUGGCCUGGAUUUCCUGCCCAAGCUUUCCUGUUGGUCAACGGGUCUAAAGAAAGGAGCCGGAUCUUUCGUCAGCUGGGAAGGUCCUGCAAGGUUGUUGGGCACAUGCUGAUGGAUGACCAGUGAGAGGUCCGUGUGCCAGCUCUGAGCCCAGCCUCCCACACCCCCUCACUGCUGGGGGAACUCAGAAGGCUGGGAUGGCCCAUCCGCCCUGCUCUUCUCCAUGGGACCUGACGCUGGUGAGCUGAGCACAGGGCCCCCGCGUCACAUGAGGAAGCCUAAGGGUUGCUGAGUAGACAAAGAGGAAAUAAGCCUCCCCAGAGCUCCGGGUUCGCGGCCCUCGCCUCCGCCCUCCACCCGCCCGGCGGAGAGCUGCCCGUCCUCGCCCCCACCCGCUGGUCACCGACUUCCCGGGAAGUUGAGCCCAGAGAGGAGGAAAUGGCCAGUGACAUGGCCAGCAUUUGAACUCAGUUCUCUGCCUCCGACUGUGGUCUCUUGCCUUCACCUCUGCUCUCUCUCAGCCUGCUCUCGCCACGCCCAGGCCCGGGUCUGCGCUCCGGGCAGACGCCAUCCCCCAGUUCCAGAAUGUGUCGCCUCCAGGCCUGCGCUCGGCCCGUUCCUCCGCCCGGAUCGCCGCCCUCCUCCUCCUGUUUGCGGCGUGAACUCCAUUCCUCCAGAUCCGGCUGAAAGGCAGCUCCCUCGAGAAGUUUUUCUGGACUCCCACCUGCAUCCAAAUAAAGGGGCGGAUUCCUCUUUCCUGCCUGGCGUGAAGAUUGCCUCCCGCGUGUGUUAAACACGUAAAUGGGGUUCGCCAGUCUCUCUCCCUCUUAAUCGCUUAUGACCUCCCUGGGCAUCCCCCCGCCGCUGCCAAAACUCGGCGGGUGGGGCGGGCCCGCAGUUGCGCGUGUUUUGCGCAGAGUGCCGGCGCGAGCGAGCGCUCAGCGGACGCGGGUGAGGUCCGCGCCGCCCCGCGCGCUGGGUCCCGUCCGUGUCCUUCACGGCGAUCGUUGUCUUCGCCGGGCUGCGAGCCUCGGGGGCGACUGUCCUCUGCAGGAAUCAGGGAGCCUCUGCUGGCUUUCCAGGCGGAGAGUUUCUUGAUCCACAGGCAGCACAGAGACUUGCUCACGGACUGAAGUUGUGGGCCGCCCGGUGUCCAGGCCCGCGCCUUUGGCGUCUGUCCCUGGAAGGGCUUCGUGUUACACAGAGGAGGCUGGGGAGGAGAAGCGCUUUGCCUUCAUUCUGUUUAUUCAAGAACGUUGCCCGCUGCUGCCUAGGAGCUGUUCUGGGCACCAGCGCUGUAGCAACGAGCGAAGCGGAGAAAACAUGGCUCGUGGCGUUUUCAUUCCCCUGCGGGAUAUGGACAAUCAAUAAAGAAAUAAAUCUAUCAGUCCAGAUGGUAAUAGAUAUUAUGAAGAAAGAGCAGGGACCACCACAGACCCAGAGGAGCACGGGCAGACUCCUUUAGACUCAAGGUGAAGAAGGGCUGCUCGAAGAAGCCGCGUCUGGAGAGCUGUGAAUGGGAAGUGUGUUCCAGGCAGAGGGGCAGCAUUUGCAAAGGCCCUGAGGUGGAAACAAGCUGGGUGCCUAGAGGAACAGCAAGGUGGCUGGAGAGGCAGCAUGGAUAGUGCCUGCGCUGGGUCCCAGGUGGUGCUCUGUGGCCCCUGCUGGGGUCAGAGGAGAAUUUGGAGGUUCUGGAGAAGCUUCCAGCCGGCUGCUCUGUUGUUCUCUGAAUGCAGACCGUGGUGGAGCCCUGUCUUGGCCCGCAGCCGUUAGGAUAUUUCUCAGGGAAAGCCCUUGGACCAAGAAGUCUGUUUUUUCUUUGGAAACUAUGAGACUCUCUGCAAAAACAAAGGAAUUUGGAUUCUGUUCAGGAAAAAUGUAACCUACAAACAAAUAGCCUUGGAAAAUCUGUGCCUCCCCCUCGGUGCCUGGGUCAGGCACAGGGACAGCCCCACCCCCGGGCUGCUUUCGAGCUGGAGGCCACCUCCUUUUUCCUCUUCUGUGUGUUGUCUCUGGCUGCCCAGAGGGCAGUGCCUCCUCUCCAUGCCUUCCCCUGCCCUGCCGCCCAGGGCCCCUGUCUCUGCAGUGCCCUUGAUCUGGUUGGAAUGCUCUUCCCUUCCCUGGCUGCAACCCUUCCUCAUUCUUUAAGACCCAGUUCCAAUGUCUCCCCUCCGGUUCUGAGUUCCCCAGGUGGCUAGUUGCUCUGCUAUUAUGUUGCUCUGAAUAAUUUCAAAUUUAAAUAUACUUCCCUUUUCUUUCAGAUAGCAAUCCCUGAUUUUAUUCUUUUAAGAAAUAUGGUAAUAAUACUGACUGCCACUCUUAAACUCCUGCUAUGUGCCAAGCGGGGUUGUACAUUAUGGUACCCACUGCAUGCGCAAAGUGAUUAGGAAAAAACUGGCACAUAGUGAGGAGUCAGUAAAAGUUACUUCUUAUUAUCCUUAUUUUAUCUUAAUUCUCGCAUAGCACUUGCAGCAAGUAAGAUUUGUCAUGCACAUUAUGAUGAUCGGGUUCCUCGUCUGUGAGCUCCUUGACGGUGGGGACUGUGUCUUCUUGCUUGUCCAAGUCUGUGGACGUGCAAAGGGUGUUUGGUGAGUGAACAUUUAGCCAUUGAAACUGAUGACUGAGUGCCGAGAUUUACUUCGUGAGUUUCCAAAUCAACUGAGAGUGGCUUUGGCCUUAAGAAUAGAUAUGGGGACUCAGAAGAUCUGGGCUUAAUUCUAUUCCAGCUACCUGCUAGCUUUGUGACCUUGGGUACAUCAGCCAAUCUUUUCUGAACCCAAAAACCUAUUUUUCAAAAUGGGUGUCAUAGUCCCUAACUUGCCUUCCUCACAGGUUUUCCUUGAGCGUCAGAUGAGCUCACACAUAGGAGAGUUUUGUGAAUUGUAAAGUAUUUUACACACGUGAGACAUUAUUGUUGGAAUCAUUUUGGACCCAGUGCCAUCACCACCAAACGUGGCAGAAUAUGAGCCCUCGGGUAGCUCUAGCUGGACAAAUAGCAAUGUGCUGCUUUUGGUUUUCACAGUGUUUAAAAAUGUAGUCCCGUAAUGUUUGUAACCGGUGUUUCUUCUCCUCAAAGCAUGCAUCCAAGGUAUUAGUCUCAGUCCUUUUAAAGGUUUUAAAAAGGGCCUUGAUUUUCCUGCUUGGCUGCUGUAAAAUCUAUAACCCUGAAUGUCACGGUGACGUUCUCUCUCAGGAAACGUCCGCAAGAAUUGUAACUGAACAAAAACAGUAUUUAUUUUCCUUUUUAAUUCAAGAAGCUAAAUGCUAGGGAGUAGAAGGAGAGAUGAGAAGAAGUGUGUAAGAGAUGGGCUUGCUCUCAGGGAGCUCACAGGCUGGUUUGGGAGCCGGAUCUGGGUCCUAGGCUUGUGGGCAAAGGACGUGAUCUGAGGAAGGAGAGAUCCGCUGCGUUGAGGUGGUCUGUGAAGGUUGCAGGGAGAAAGCGGGCCUGUGUUAAGCUUAAAGGAAGACCAUUGUUUGGACCACGACCCUGGGAGCAUAAUUCAUAAGCCAGGGCCCGGCCGCUGACUACUGCUGCUCUCACUUCCCCUUUCAGCAGGAUUGUGAUGUCUUUAGUUCUUGGGGGCUCAGGAGGAAGACAUGAGGAUGUUCUAGACAUGCACUCACGGACAAACGUCUGAAUCCAAAAAACUAAUAUUUUGUGACUGAUGCUUUCAUGAUGAGGAAAUAAAAACUCCUUACUUUUUUUUAAAAAAAUGUUUUGGCCGUGAUGUACUUGGCUUAAAACAUGUCAGAAAGAAAGCCAUUUAUAGAGAAUCGUAAUACUCUAACUUCAGCAUAACGCUAACAACAAAGGUGCCCCUGGAUCGCUAAGGUUAACACACACUGCUGAGAAUAUGGGAUGGCAGUAACAAGAACCCAAAGAAGGAAAUAUUAAAAAUACACAAUUAGGAACUAUUUAGGAAAGAAAGUGAGAACACCAGGUCUGGAAAUGUAUACAACACAGCCAAAGCCGUAGUCAGAGGUAAAUUCAAAGCAUUAAUGCUAUCACUUAAGAAUAAGAAUAAAUGAAAAGAAAGCAACUACACGUCUAACUUAAGAAUUUAGAAAAUGGGGGCCGGCCCGGUGUCGCAGCGGUUAAGUUCACACGUUCUGAUUCUCGGUGGCCCGGGGUUCACUGGUUCGGAUCCUGGAUGCGGACAUGGCGCCGCUUGGCACGCCAUGCUGAGGUAGGCGUCCCACGUAUAAAGUAGAAGGAGAUGGGCAUGAUGUUAGCUCAGGGCCAGGCUUCCUCAGCAAAAAAGAGGAGGACUGCCAGUAGUUAGCUCAGGGCUAAUCUUCCUCAAAGAAAUAAAUAAAUAAAAGAAUUUAGAAAAUGGGCAGCAAAACAAGACCAAGAAAAGCAAGACAAUAAAAAAUACAAGGAUGAUAAGUGAAUUAGAAAAUCAACAAAGUAGGAGAAUUCGUAAAUAAAUCCAUAAGAUGGUUCUUUGGAGGGCAACUUAAAAUAGGAAAACCUCUAGAAAAUCUGCUUAAGAGAAAAAAAUCAAAUAACUGAUAUCUGAAAAAUUUAUACUGUUUGUAAAGCAUGUCCCCAUUCCGUAUCACUCUUGGUCGCUAAGCUAAUCCUGUCUGUUAUAUAUUUGUAUCCCUAUUUUGCUAGUGAUCAAACUGAGAAUCAAACAAAUGAGGUUACUUUUUAGGGUCAUACAACUAGUGAGUAGUUAAAGCCAUGAUUUGAAGCAGGUCUGCUAACCUUGUUGAAUAUUCUUCCAAUCAUCCCAUGGCAUCCUCUCAGGAUGAAUUCAAGAAAGGAAGAGUGGAACAUUUAGCAUGUCUCCGUUGGUCUCCUGGGACCGCCGUAACACAUCACCACGCAUUCCUGCUGGCUUGGAGCAAUAGGAAUUUCUUCUGUCACAGUUCUGGAGCCUAGAAGUCCAAAACCAAGUUUUGAGCAGGGCCACGCUCCCUCUGAAGGCUCUCGGGGAGAGUCCUCGCUGUCUCUCCCAGCCUCUGGAGGUGGCCGUAGUCCUUGGUGUCCUCGACUUGCAGCUCUAGCAUCUAACUUCUGCCCCCAUCUUCCCAGGGUUUUCUCCCUCUGUGUCUUGACUUUGUCUCCAUCUGUGCAUAUGUCUCCUCUGUUUUCCCUUCUUGUAAGGAGUUAGUUUUCCAAAUCUACAAUUUUCCUUUCAGUAUAACCUCAUCUUAAUUGUGUCUGCUAUGACCCUAUUUCCAAAUAAAGUUACAUUCUGAGA